This 446-nucleotide ribosomal RNA is filed under the name uncultured bacterium. RNAcentral describes it as "bacterial SSU rRNA". It matches the Rfam family "Bacterial small subunit ribosomal RNA", at positions 329 to 792 of the family's 1533-position model. The record is from RNAcentral.
AUCCAGACUCCUACGGGAGGCAGCAGUGGGGAAUAUUGCACAAUGGGGGAAACCCUGAUGCAGCGACGCCGCGUGAGCGAUGAAGUAUUUCGGUAUGUAAAGCUCUAUCAGCAGGGAAGAAGAUGACGGUACCUGACUAAGAAGCCCCGGCUAACUACGUGCCAGCAGCCGCGGUAAUACGUAGGGGGCAAGCGUUAUCCGGAUUUACUGGGUGUAAAGGGAGCGUAGACGGCGAUGCAAGCCAGAUGUGAAAGCCCGGGGCUCAACCCCGGGACUGCAUUUGGAACUGUGUGGCUGGAGUGUCGGAGAGGCAGGCGGAAUUCCUAGUGUAGCGGUGAAAUGCGUAGAUAUUAGGAGGAACACCAGUGGCGAAGGCGGCCUGCUGGACGAUGACUGACGUUGAGGCUCGAAAGCGUGGGGAGCAAACAGGAUUAGAUACCCGAGUA